AAGAAAUUAUUGUUUCAAAAUGGAUUUGGACUGCAAUUAAAAACAAAAUCUACCAAGACUUUGAUUUCAAAAUUAUGCUUCCCAAGCAACUACACUUAACAUGUAUAUUUACGUUGAUAAUGAAAAAUCUUUUAUCGGCCUUUGGUUGAAGAUUAAUUUUGUCCAACUGUCUGAGUGUGAACACGCAUCAUAACAUGCAUCAUUGAAUUUAUAUUCUUAUUAGUAACUGUAACUAAACCUUGGCCAUGGUUUAAAAACAACUGCUUCCAUCAACAUCCUUWACAAUAGUUGAUUUCAUGGUAACAAGAGUAACAAGUGACUCCUGACGAACACCAACUACAUUUCUGUCUGAAGAUCACUGUUGUUGCAAUCACUUGAACAAUAAUUCUAGGGAUGGAUAUUAGAAAUGUUAAUCACGGUUAUCCGAAGAAUCAUACGAGCUUACUUAAUUCAGUAGAACAGUCCGUUGAAACCCAAUAUUUACAAAUAUUACAGUCUUUACUGCUCAAGUUCUGGAAUCUACAUAUAUCUACAUUUAAACCCAUAUAAACUAAAAAUAUGAGGACCAACUCUGUACACGAAAAACAUUUAACAUUUUUAUACGAUUAUAAAU
Molecule: long non-coding RNA, 613 nt
Organism: Diuraphis noxia (Russian wheat aphid)
Lineage: Eukaryota; Metazoa; Arthropoda; Insecta; Hemiptera; Aphididae
Source: RefSeq, a predicted model, not a curated record